Molecule: ribosomal RNA, 432 nt
Filed under: uncultured bacterium
Lineage: Bacteria
Description: partial 16S ribosomal RNA
Rfam family: Bacterial small subunit ribosomal RNA
Source: RNAcentral
AGCGAACGCUGGCGGCAGGCCUAACACAUGCAAGUCGAACGAACUCUUCGGAGUUAGUGGCGGACGGGUGAGUAACACGUGGGAACGUGCCUUUUGGUUCGGAAUAACUCAGGGAAACUUGUGCUAAUACCGAAUGUGCCCUUCGGGGGAAAGAUUUAUCGCCAUUAGAGCGGCCCGCGUCUGAUUAGCUAGUUGGUGAGGUAACGGCUCACCAAGGCGACGAUCAGUAGCUGGUCUGAGAGGAUGACCAGCCACACUGGGACUGAGACACGGCCCAGCCUCCUACGGGGGGGACGAGUGGGAAAUUUUGGGAAUGGGGGAAAAGCCUGCCCAGCCCAGGCCCGGGAAAGUAUAAAGGUUUUGGGUUUUUAAAAUUUUUUCCCCGGGGACGAUAAUGGCGGGACCCGGAAAAAAAGCCCCGGCUAACUUGGU